GCCAGGAGACAGAGAAAAUCACCACCACCAUCUACCUCCUUCAAUUUCAUCCUCUUUCACCGCCGCCGCCACCACCACCACCACCACCAUCUUCUUCGUUCUUCUUUUCUCUUCAUUUCCCUAGGUUUUGCGUUUUGAAUUGAUGUUCUAACCUGCAACCCUAAAUACCAGAUUAGAUGAAUAACGUCGAAGCCCAAGACUUAGAGUUUGGAAUUGAUAUUCUAACCUGCAACCCUAAAUACCUUGGAUGGAUCACGUCGAAGCCUAAGACUUAUGGAGCUAGCUCGAAUUGUAGAGCAAGCCGAGAGUGAUGCAGACAAAAAAAGCCAUUGAGGAAUGCUCAGUAUAAAGCGAAACAAGAGAAAAUGUCAGACGAUGAAAGAAAGGCAUUGAAGGAAGAUGUCGUGUUGCUUAUCGCAAUCGAUUUGGAGCCAGUACAAGUUGUAAGCUUACCAAUUCUGUAAUGCACAUCCCAUAAUUUGGUUAAUUUGACACAAUCAAAUAGAAUGAGUAACAUUUCAGCCCUUUCUACUUCUCGCAAAACCGCGAAUUAAUCAUUUGAUCUUGAAACACACCACUACUAAUUUUCUCUUUAGUUAUUACCUCUCUCACCCAGUCACCCUCAGUAACUAUGUCUUUCUUUAAUAACUACGUCAUUAUGUUUUCAUUCCUGUAGUGUUUUAGUCUUUCUUAGUAGCUGCUUCUUUAGUAGAAUAAAUUUUGAGACCAUUCCACACCAAAAAUGUACAGUAUUAUGUCAGUGAUUUUCAUGUUUUGAUUAUAAAAAUUUUGUUUCGGUUGAAAAGCCACAUUCGAUAGUGAAAUUCAUUGGUGAUAUGUAUUAUGUUUUGGGUUUUUAGUACGUUGAUCAUUUUCUGUUAUUUUUAAAACACAGGUGCACAACUCUUUAACUUGCAUUAGCUUUAUAGUCACAUUGCUUACAUCAGACUUAGAGAUAUUUCUUUUCGUAAUCCGUUCAAGUUGGUGCAUCUACUAUAAGCAGGUCAGAUUAACACUUCAGAUUGUUUCAAUUUUGCACUUCACAUUGAUGUUCAAUGUUUGAAAGGGAAAAAAAUAGUUGCAAUCGGAUCAAGGUUAUAGGUACAUUUCAGAGUUCAUGUUAAGUUGUUAACUCUACCAAAGAUUAACAUUACCUGUUUGAGUAAAUUCCCUAGAAGAUAUCGUUGUUUGAUGUUUUAUUCAAAUAUUUCUAUGUACCUGUUCAUGAAAGAUUAAUGGGUUUGUCUGCUUUUGAAAAUUAGUGUGGUUGUUGUUGGCGGUGAGUUGUGGUGCUGGUUAAUUGUGAGCAGAAAUGAUGGGAGAAUCUGAGAUAGAAUUGUUGAAGGUUAGAAACAUGUUUCCAAUUGUGAUUUGUAUACCUGAGAACUAAUGUUUUCUCAAUAUCAAUAUUUUGAAGUUGAGUCUAAUGAUGUGCAAAAUGCUUCCGUUGAGUUGGUAGCAAUCAAGUCUGUGGUAAGUUGAAAUUUCUAUGAACAGGAAGUCUACUGAUAGUUGUGUGAUUGCAUAUCUGUUUGUACUUUUAAGUAUGAGGUCGGAGUGUUGUAAUUUUUUAAAACAUUGAAGGUCCUGAACUGCCACAGUAACAACUAAUAACUGUCUAAGUCCUAUAAAAUGUGAACUAUCAAUGACGAGCCAAAUCAGUUGAUGUUAAGGAAUUAGUUGUUUCUCGCUAUUUGACUUUCAUGGAUGAUCUGGUGGACACAUUGCACAACAAGAUUCAUCAUGUGUCUUUACAGCUUCUGAGAUUGUAGUCUUCCUUAUUUUCCAUCCCAAUUUUAUGUCUGGAUGGAAAGUUACUUAUCAGCAUUUGACAUUAUGAAUGCAUCCAAAAAUUAUCCUCGGAUUUAUUGGUUUUCUGGCAUUGUUUUUCUUCUCAAACGAAUACAGCCAAAAUUAUUCUCAGUUUAUAAGCUUUCUGGCAUUGUGUUUCUUCUCUAACAUUGAAUGUCAUUUUGACAGAUUAUCCGGGAAAAAAGACUUGAGAUGCACAAAAAGGAAAUUGUGUGUUUUCCUUAUCAUUUACUUCUUAUUUUGUUUCAGUUAUAGCUGUAUAUGAGAAAACUAGACAUUGACGCGCACCUUUUUAUGUUCUCUUCAAUAGUGCAGUUCAUAAGCUAGAGGCGGUAAUACUAACAUGAAAGAUCGGGUAAUCGGUAUGGUUCAACAACCUGGUAGUUGCUUAAUGUUUUGAACAAGUGAGUUUGGGACAGUUCAUUGUUGCUGAAAAAGAGCAAGGUGUGGAUGCUUCUAAGGAUGCCAAAUGAUAAAAUAAACUAUUCAGUAUUUACUGGCAUAUGGCUUAUGGAGAUAUUGCCAUUAUCAUUUGGUUUUUGUUUAUCACUUUUGUACUAUGAGAUAUUAUCAAAUUCAGGUUUGGGUAUGCCAGGUAGUUUAUAUAGAUUGUUUAUAAUAUAUUGAAAAUUCUUGGGCAA
Molecule: long non-coding RNA, 2453 nt
Organism: Papaver somniferum (opium poppy)
Lineage: Eukaryota; Viridiplantae; Streptophyta; Magnoliopsida; Ranunculales; Papaveraceae
Exons: 3
Source: RefSeq, a predicted model, not a curated record